GGUCACCUGGCUGAGUGGUGAGGCAGGGGUCCGCAAGGCCCCGCACAGUGGUUCGACUUCACUGGUGACCUCCU
This 74-nucleotide transfer RNA is filed under the name uncultured Cytophagales bacterium. RNAcentral describes it as "tRNA-Pseudo-GCA". The record is from RNAcentral. Lineage: Bacteria; Pseudomonadati; Bacteroidota; Sphingobacteriia; Sphingobacteriales.